AAGACUAUACUUUCAGGGAUCAUUUCUAUAGUGUGUUACUAGAGAAGUUUCUCUGAAUGUGUAGAGAAAAAAAAAAAAAAAUCUCCCGGAUGGAGAGAGAUUGGAGCGGGG
Molecule: non-coding RNA, 111 nt
Organism: Callithrix jacchus (white-tufted-ear marmoset)
Lineage: Eukaryota; Metazoa; Chordata; Mammalia; Primates; Cebidae
Source: Rfam